This is an RNA transcript of Cheilinus undulatus (humphead wrasse), 4145 nucleotides long. It is a transcript of the gene named synaptotagmin VIIb, with no coding region annotated. Lineage: Eukaryota; Metazoa; Chordata; Actinopteri; Labriformes; Labridae. The transcript has 5 exons. The record is from RefSeq and is a predicted model, not a curated record.
CUGUGUUCGUGGGCCACCUCUUACCUUCAUUUCAGCAUUUCUGUUCUUUAUUAUUGAUUCAUUUUAAUGAAUCCUGUCUGUGUGUUGGACUUUUUCAUGAAGUUUUCUGUUUCCUGUAGGAUUUGUUCGCCUCUUUGGACUGCACGUCAUGGUUUUGUCUCCUGCCAGCCUCACUGCAAGGUGUAACCACUUACCAGCCUGAUUCAACCAUGAUCAGUGCUGUCAGUAGGAGGGGCAUCUUUCACCAUUCCUCUUUUGACCGAUCCAAGAACCAUUUGCCAACACAUCCAGUGAUUGGAGCAUAGGUUUCCAACCUGGGAUCCAGGACCCCUGAGGGGAUGCGCCAAAGAUCUUGGCCUAUUCUAAUGAAGUGGAGUAAUGAUCUCCACUAUCAGCAUCCAGCUGACUGCCACAGAUUGAUGUACAACACCAGAGACCGCCAGUGAGCCAGGAUACGCGCGUGACUCUUGGCGAACGUGAAUGCUUCGCCCUGUCAACCUCUGGCCCGCAGAUUCACACCUGACUUCUACCCCCCCUUCCCCCCCAUGGAUGAAAGUAGCGCUAUGAGAUGGAGUGGCCGGCCUUGGACAGAGCCCCCAGGGAUGAUCUGUUACAGCCUUCAGCACCUGGUCAUAGCGCGGGCCGCUGUGUCCGUGUCAGGGUUACUGUGCAGCAGCUGAAGAUUUGCAGCAGCAUUCUUCUAUUGAGGCGGCGAGGGCAUGGAGGUGACUCAGCCUCGCUCCUGAAGAAGGCUGUUGCAGAGGCAGUGAAUUAAUUUAAGAGGAGUCUGAGCAGGUUGUAUUGAAAUGUUCUGCUCUCACUAUUUUCCCAUCUGUCUCUUCAGAUUUCUUGUACAUCUCUUUCCUGGUAACUCUUUCCUUUUGAUAUGUGUUUAUUUGUGUGAUAACCAUGUACUCCCUGGUUUAUGCUGUCUACAAACAUGUAUUCUCUCCUCCCUGCUCUCAUCAGUAGUCUUGUCACUGGUGGCUGGCAGCUCUUACUCUCUGUUGUUUGUGUGAUCAUCACUGUAGGAGAGACAGUGUGGAUUUAUGAAGGAGACACAGCAGAGACAUUUCAUUUAUACAUUUUAAGACAUUGGAUAAACAGUACUGUGCAGAAGUUUUAGGCAUGUAGAGCGCUAACGGUUCUUCACAGGUCCUGAUGUUCCACAACCCCGGGCUGAAGAGAGGAGGAAGGGCGGCCAGAGUCAGUGUCGACACAUUUGACAUGUACGUGUGCUGCUCAGCAGCCAGGGUCGAGCUUAACUGCAUUACUUUUGUCCAGGCCUUUGCACCCAGGGGUGCCCAGCAACCACCAACAGUUUUCAGGUGCUUAGAACAUGCACAUGACAACCAGGGGGUUGUGGCAACCCUUACAGCACCUUAGGCUAUGUUUAAGUGCCACAUCUACCCAUAACUCCGUCCUAAAGCUAAAGGUUUUUGUUUUGUUUUCAUCAGAUUAUUUUCCCCUGCCCUUCGUAAUGUACAAAGACAUCCAGAGCAUGACCUGGGUUGUGUCAAUCCUCCUCCCCGCCCGAUGGGGCCCUUAGGUGGGCGUACUCGCCAUUACACGCCUUACUUCAGCCUCAAAUUAUGGCCCAAACAUGCCUAAAACUUCUGCACAGUACUGUAUUUAUAGUGUAUUUUAUUUAAAAUGUCCAUUUAUAACAUUAGGUGCCUUUAAAAGUGUGGAAGAACCUGUACAACCUCCCUGUACAAGCUACAAAUAUUUCCCAUCACAACCAAAAGCUCAUCACCUGCGCACCACUGAUAAAUGUUAUUGCCAUAUUCUUGUUAUCAGCCAUCUAUACAGUCUCCUCUUCACAGGGGCACAAACCGGAGAAAUAUAGCUGUGUGUUUGCUUACAGGUUAGCAUAAUGGAGGGGUCCCAUCCCUGUGUAAAUGAGACUGUUUACUCAUGCAUAUGAGUGUGUCACUGUUUGCAAUGAUGUGUGACAAUGCCUGCAUCAGUUUUUUGUAUCAUUGCCAAGCUGACGUUCUUCUGCUCCAACUGCGCUCACUUCUGUGCCUUUCUCCUUCAAUUUCCUUCCCUCCUCUUUUAAUGGAUUGUUUUUUAUUUUUCCUGUAUGUCUAAAACCAUCAUGCUUUCAAAAGGCUGAAAUUAUAGUGAUGGAUCGUGGCCAGGAAAGGAAGGAGAGGGUCAGAUAGGAGGAAGAUAGAGAGCAGCAAUGGCACUCUGUUGAGGAUGUUAGGAGAGGGUAGAGAGAGCAGGCAAAGCUGAGGUAAUUUGAAGAGUAAUGAAGAUAGAUUGAAGGGAGACAGAAGUUAAUAUAUCUGCCUUCAUCUAGGGUAUGAAAAUAUUAAAAAUAAGCCUACAAAUGGGCCAGCUCAAACUCCCAAUAUGCGAUAGUUCCACUAUCAUACAAGAUGAUGGAUCUUCAUUUUUUACACAUUUCAUGUGAUUUUUAUAGCAGCCCAGACAAUCUAUAAAUAAAUCUGAAUCAUAUCUGGUUAUGCCAAAACAGAUAUUGGACUGGUAGUCUCAGAAUAGUCUAACAGUCUACUGUCUUACUCGUGACUUUCAGCAAGCAUCAAGUGAUGUCUGCAUGCCAACAUGCUCUUGAUAACAAUGCUAAAUGAUGUGAUGAUGAUUAGACUCUGGCCCAUGAUACUGACUAUGCUCACAAACCUAUAACACAAGUAUACAACACAUUAAACCUCACAGAAAUGGACUAGUUAAGAUUUUAAAUUGGAUAUUGAUGCUAUGUGAAAGAGAAUGUGUGAACCCACUGUUUAUAAUCCAGCAACAGCGCAGCCUCAGUGAGUACCAGACAUUUUUAAGUGCAGCAAUCUCUUUUCAGACGGGGGGGUCAUGGUUUUCACAAUUAAGUUUUCUGGUUUUCAUUUGUAAUCCAUUUGUAGGCUGAGCUGUAUUGACAAUUCACAUAUCAGCAGACUUUGGAGCAUACAUACUUUAUGUUUUGUCUUUACAUCAAUAAACGGGCGAACUUUGACCACGCUUAUGACUAACCAGCUCACAUUGAUGGCAUUCUUAUGAUGAUUUGUCUCUCAGAACAAACAGUAUCAAAUUGCAGCUAACAAUCCAUUAUAUAUCAAACAUUAAAAUUCAAGCCAUGAUUUGCUUCACUCUAAAUUUUGGAAUGCCUUGGAUGCUGCCAUUGCCUUCUGGUCCCCGGUCUUCACUCUUGUGAGGCCUUUGGGAUGGGUAGUAUCAGCUGCCUGAUCCAGCUCGCUACAUACAGGGACCCAGUGGGCUGGUCCAGAUGCCGGGGGCAACUGGAGCAUUAUGGACGGGGCAGGGGGAGGAUGGCCAUCAAGAGAUCGGAGCAGUACUGGACCAAGGUUUAGGCAGCAAAGUGCCAAACUGGCAUAUGCUCCCAUACCUAUUUUGUAUUUGAUUUUAAUCUAUUUAACUUAUGUUAUUUCUUUUUUUCAUCUUUUUUCAUCCUCCUCGUCUCAAUAUAUGUUGAUCUUGAGUUGCUUUGGUUCCCAUGAUGUUGGGGCUUCUAUCCUGUUUUGGUUCUAUUUGUAAUUUUCCCUCUAAAAUUUUUCUAAUGCUUUAUUCUUGUGUAUGGUUCUGCAUGUUUGUCAAAGUGAUUUGUAAACCCCAGUUUUUAAGUACUAUACAAAGUUGUUUCUGUUUAUGUUAUUGAGGAUCAUCCUCAGGGAACAAUGAAUGCCUGUACAUAAUGUUAAGGCAAUCCAUCUCACAGUUAUUAAGACAUUUUUCUAGAAAUGACAGAAGUCAACAUCAAUGUGGCACUACGGGAAAGGAAAAGUCUUUAGGAGUCGUCCUCUGGGAACCACGAGUAUCUGCACACAAUCUCAGGGCAAUCAUUCAAAAGAAAUGUGCGUUGAUAUUUCAGUCUCAACGAAGUGACAGCCUUGCUGAUAAAGUGAUCUACACUACCAAGCUCAAGCGUGCCUAAAAAUGGAUGAGAGAAUUAUUCAGAGAGGCAGAGGGACUUGGAUUGAUGCGGGGCUACAGAAAACAACACAUACAAAGUUGUGAGGCUAGUUGUUUGGUUUUUAGGUUGUUUACUUGGUUGGAUGGAUGGAUUGGUUGCUGGAGGUUACAGAGUUGCCAGAGAGAACUAGACAGCUGGGCACAGGCCCAGUCAGUGUUUAUUUAUAAAUAAAUGCUUUGAAUAAUUUAGAGGAACC